RNAcentral lists this unclassified non-coding RNA (203 nucleotides) under Hevea brasiliensis (rubber tree). Lineage: Eukaryota; Viridiplantae; Streptophyta; Magnoliopsida; Malpighiales; Euphorbiaceae. The record is from RNAcentral.
ACAUCAGCCUUCUCAUUAAACUUACCUUCGAAAAGACAUUCAGGAUCUAGAUAUCCAGGUGUCACCUUCAAAGUUUCUAUCACUAUGUGGGUUUUACCUUCUGGAAUUGAUAUGGAUAACGAAAAAUCACUCAAUUUGGCCCUGCAGUCUUCAUCCAGCAGGAUAUUUCCGCAAUUGAUAUCUCUAUGAACAAUAGGCCUUGG